GAUGAACGCUGGCGGCGUGCCUAAUACAUGCAAGUCGAGCGAACGGACGAGAAGCUUGCUUCUCUGAUGUUAGCGGCGGACGGGUGAGUAACACGUGGAUAACCUACCUAUAAGACUGGGAUAACUUCGGGAAACCGGAGCUAAUACCGGAUGAUAUUUUGAACCGCAUGGUUCAAAAGUGUAAGACGGUCUUGCUGUCACUUAUAGAUGGAUCCGCGCUGCAUUAGCUAGUUGGUAAGGUAACGGCUUACCAAGGCAACGAUGCAUAGCCGACCUGAGAGGCUGAUCGGCCACACUGGAACUGAGACACGAUCCAGACUCCUACGGGAGGCAGCAGUAGGGAAUCUUCCUCAAUGGGCGAAAGCCUGACGGAGCAACGCCGCGUGAGUGAUGAAGGUCUUCGGAUCGUAAAGCUCUGUUAUUAGGGAAGAACAUAUGUGUAAGUAACUGUGCACAUCUUGACGGUACCUAAUCAGAAAGCCACGGCUAACUACGUG
RNAcentral lists this ribosomal RNA (497 nucleotides) under uncultured bacterium. RNAcentral's name for it is "partial 16S ribosomal RNA". It matches the Rfam family "Bacterial small subunit ribosomal RNA", at positions 28 to 507 of the family's 1533-position model. The record is from RNAcentral.